GGGGGGGGGGGGGGGGGGGCCGGGGGGAUGCGGGGGGAGCGGGGGGGCGAGGAGCUUGCUGCACUGAUGUUAGCGGCGGGCGGGCGAGUAACACGUGGAUAACCUACCUAUAAGACUGGGAGAACUUCGGGAAACCGGAGCUAAUACCGGAUGAUAUUUUGAACCCCAUGGUUCAAAAGUGAAAGACGGCCUUUCUCUCACUGAUAGAGGGAUACGCGCUGCAUUAGCUAGUUCGUACGGUAACGGCGUACCAAGGCAACGAUGCAUAGCCGACCUGAGAGGGUGAUCGGCGAAACGGGAACUGAGACACGGUCAAGACUCCUAGGGGAGGCAGCAGUAGGGAAUCUUCCGGAAUGGGCGAAAGCCUGACGGAGCAACGCCGAGUGAGUGAUGACGGUCUUCGGCUCGUAAAACUCUGUUAUUAGGGAAGAACAUAUGUGUAAGUAACUGUGCACAUCUUGACGGUACCUAAACAGAAAGCCACGGCUAACUACGUG
This 497-nucleotide ribosomal RNA is filed under the name uncultured bacterium. RNAcentral's name for it is "partial 16S ribosomal RNA". It matches the Rfam family "Bacterial small subunit ribosomal RNA", at positions 27 to 507 of the family's 1533-position model. The record is from RNAcentral.